GUUGGUGCAACGGUUGGAUGCAUUCUGACUCUUUGUAUUAUAUUACUUGACUUCUCAUUUGCUCGGUGCUUGAGAUGAUUCUAGUUUUAUUUUUCUCAUUCGUGCUCUCUUUAUUCUUCUCCUUGAAAACUGUUGGUUUUUGUUUGUAAUCUUUGGUCUCUAGAUAUUUCUACUGAAAUCUAGUGUAAAUUACUUAGUGGAAGGGAUGAUUUUGUUCUUAGUUGAGCAAUAACUUUUGGUUACUUUGUGUAAUUAGUUGAGGAUAUUUUUGAGAGAAAAAAGGGCCCAAGGGUUAGAUCUGAUGGAUUUUUGAGUCAUGAUUCUUGUACCAAUAAUUUUUUACUGGUUUCUAGUGGAUUAGAGAGAUAACCACUUUGGUGGAUGUUCAACAUAGUGAUUAAUCAUUUUGCGUGAACAUCCGGGCUUUAGUUCAAAAAGUGUUCUUUAAUUUUUUGCCAUUAAUUUUGGUUUUCUGGGACUGUUAAUACCAAUAGUGGUAGCAAAGCUAUUUGAUCUAUUUAAAAUCCCUCGAUCUGGUUUCUGGUGUUUCUGAUGCUCAAAACCCUAGAGCUUUACAGAUCUAUAUUGUAAAGGGUUUAAUCUUCAUUUUUGUGGAGAAAGUAAAAUAGUUUUGAUAUUUACUAUUUUACACUGUCGAUCAAGAUUCUUUGGCAACAUGUUUCUAAGCCUCUCUUUAUCUCUUAUUAGCACUUGAUUUUUUAGAUAUUUCUUGGACCUACUAGUUGAAUCUACUUUAUCUAAGGUUUCAUGCGAGUAUCCUAGAAUAUGAGGAAACUAAGAUUAACGAUUUCUUCAAGAUUAUCUUGAGUUCUAUUUUUUUUUUUCGAAAGUUGUAUAUUUCUGUGGUUUAUUUAAUUGGAGUUACCUAUCUCUCUGCUUACAAACUUCAGUACAUUUGUGUUAAUAAUUCCUGCACAUUAACACUCUGCAUAUGUACAUUAGUUGAAAAUUUUUCUUCCGUACUUUGUACUUCAAUCUUGGUAUUGUUUUUUGAAAUCUAUCAAAAC
RNAcentral lists this long non-coding RNA (1028 nucleotides) under Olea europaea subsp. europaea. The record is from RNAcentral. Lineage: Eukaryota; Viridiplantae; Streptophyta; Magnoliopsida; Lamiales; Oleaceae.